ACGAACGCUGGCGGCGUGCCUAAUACAUGCAAGUUGAGCGAUGAAGAUUGGUGCUUGCACCAAUUUGAAGAGCAGCGAACGGGUGAGUAACGCGUGGGGAAUCUGCCUUUGAGCGGGGGACAACAUUUGGAAACGAAUGCUAAUACCGCAUAACAACUUUAAACAUAAGUUUUAAGUUUGAAAGAUGCAAUUGCAUCACUCAAAGAUGAUCCCGCGUUGUAUUAGCUAGUUGGUGAGGUAAAGGCUCACCAAGGCGAUGAUACAUAGCCGACCUGAGAGGGUGAUCGGCCACAUUGGGACUGAGACACGGCCCAAACUCCUACGGGAGGCAGCAGUAGGGAAUCUUCGGCAAUGGACGGAAGUCUGACCGAGCAACGCCGCGUGAGUGAAGAAGGUUUUCGGAUCGUAAAACUCUGUUGGUAGAGAAGAACGUUGGUGAGAGUGGAAAGCUCAUCAAGUGACGGUAACUACCCAGAAAGGGACGGCUAACUACGUG
This 496-nucleotide ribosomal RNA is filed under the name uncultured bacterium. Its description in RNAcentral is "partial 16S ribosomal RNA". It matches the Rfam family "Bacterial small subunit ribosomal RNA", at positions 29 to 507 of the family's 1533-position model. The record is from RNAcentral.